This 138-nucleotide ribosomal RNA is filed under the name Ophiocordyceps sinensis. RNAcentral's name for it is "partial 28S rRNA". It matches the Rfam family "Eukaryotic large subunit ribosomal RNA", at positions 1 to 136 of the family's 3401-position model. Lineage: Eukaryota; Fungi; Ascomycota; Sordariomycetes; Hypocreales; Ophiocordycipitaceae. The record is from RNAcentral.
GUUAACCUCGGAUUAGGUAGGGAUACCCGCUAAACUUAAGCAUAUUAAUAAGCGGAGGAAAAGAAACUAAUAGGGAUUGCCCUAGUAACGGCGAGUAAAGCGGCAAUAGCUUAAAUUUGAAAUCUAGCCCCCCCCGCG